This 254-nucleotide ribosomal RNA is filed under the name uncultured bacterium. Its description in RNAcentral is "partial 16S ribosomal RNA". It matches the Rfam family "Bacterial small subunit ribosomal RNA", at positions 524 to 776 of the family's 1533-position model. The record is from RNAcentral.
UACGUAGGGUGCGAGCGUUGCCCGGAUUUAUUGGGCGUAAAGGGCGCGUAGGCGGCCACGCACGUCCGUUGUGAAAUCGCCCGGCUCAACUGGGCGGGGUCGGCGGAUACGGCGUGGCUGGAGCAAGCUAGGGGGCAAUGGAAUUCCCGGUGUAGUAGUGGAAUGCGUAGAUAUUAGGAAGAACACCAGUGGCGAAGGCGACUACCUGGCCUGUUUCUUGACGCUGAGGCGCGAAAGCUAGGGGAGCAAACGGG